GGUAAGCAGAACUGGCGC
This 18-nucleotide non-coding RNA is filed under the name Mus musculus (house mouse). Lineage: Eukaryota; Metazoa; Chordata; Mammalia; Rodentia; Muridae. The record is from RNAcentral.